UAAUAUGGUCAAGUAAUUAAGGGCGUACGGUGGAUGCCAAGGCACUAGAAGGCGAUGAAGGACGUGGUUUGCUGCGAUUAGCGACGGGGAGUUGUAAACAAGCUUUGAUCCGUCGAUUUCCGAAUGGGGGAACCCUACACGGCCAAACCGUGUAACACAGCAAUGUGGGCAAGACCCAGGGAAUUGAAACAUCUUAGUACCUGGAGGAAGAGAAAGAAACCUCGAUUCCGUCAGUAGCGGUGAGCGAAAGCGGA
This 254-nucleotide ribosomal RNA is filed under the name Leptospira meyeri. Its description in RNAcentral is "partial 23S ribosomal RNA". It matches the Rfam family "Bacterial large subunit ribosomal RNA", at positions 1 to 263 of the family's 2925-position model. The record is from RNAcentral. Lineage: Bacteria; Pseudomonadati; Spirochaetota; Leptospiria; Leptospirales; Leptospiraceae.